This 490-nucleotide small RNA is filed under the name Pongo abelii (Sumatran orangutan). Its description in RNAcentral is "processed transcript". Lineage: Eukaryota; Metazoa; Chordata; Mammalia; Primates; Hominidae. The record is from RNAcentral.
ACGGACUAGAUGGGUCCAACAGUGCUGGGUAAGGCGAGGACGGGGCAGCCGGAAGCGCGCGCAUGCUCUGGACUCGUGCACCCGCCUCCAAUUGUUUUUAAGGAGAAACUAUCAAUGAAAACGGACUCGUUGAUGGAGGAAAAGUUGGAAUGCAGCCUCUAGUGCUGUUUGAGCGAUCCCUCUCCCCCGGGCCGCUGCUGUGUUCUGGAAAGGCGCAUUGUACCCUGGAUGCAGCAGGAAUCCUGUUCAUCUUCUUCACCGAUAUGGUUUGUGGACUCUGAUGAGCCAAAUCUGACAUCACUUCUGGAACGUCUAGAAGAUACUAAGGACAACAUUUCGGUGAGGAAAGAAGCCAAGCUAUUUUCUCUUUUCCUCAUGAACAUUAUAUUUAGAACUUAAAUGUUAAGUGAUAAUAUUAUAUAAAAGCAUGAUUAAUAACUAUAAUCUUAGAGGAAUUAAAGUCUGGGUAUUUUAAGUCCUCCAGAUCUUA